GAACGCACCGGGCUUAGCAGCAGCUCGACCGCAGCGCUGUAAGAUGACGUAUUAAGAGCUACAAUGGUAGCGAGUAGUAUGAAA
Molecule: long non-coding RNA, 84 nt
Organism: Etheostoma cragini (Arkansas darter)
Lineage: Eukaryota; Metazoa; Chordata; Actinopteri; Perciformes; Percidae
Exons: 3
Source: RefSeq, a predicted model, not a curated record